UUUUAGACAUGUCAUUAACCAAUACGCUGAAUGAACAGUUUUAUCAAGCGUGGCAUUGGCCAACAAAAUAUGAUCUAAAGAAAAUGGAGCUGAAAUAUGGAGAUUUUUGUACAUAUUAAAACUGUUCUCGGCGUGCAUGUCUUGUAUCCAUUCUUUCGUUGCAAAAGGAACGGACUCAGAUAAGGAGAAUCCAGUAUCUAAAACAGUAUAGUAGGUGUUUGGCGAGGUAAUGACAAAUUCAUUGGAAUUCUGUACGAAGGUCAAGACUUGAAUCCCAUUUGAAAUUAGCAUACUAAUUGGUAGCAAUAUUUUUGAUUUAAUCAAUGUUUCAGGCUUCUCUUGAAUGAAGGAUGGCGAUAAAUCAUUCAAUAAUUUUUCAUACUUCGGUCCAUCCACUUCUGGAAUCACAUACCAUAUUCGUUGAGCUCCAUAAUGAUGAUAGUGCAUACCAAACAAAGACAUAGAAUCGCGUUGCCAGCCUUGACAAGUCAGAGGCUGACCUAGUGAUAUAGUAGACGUCAAUAUACCUGGAGGAGUAAAACGUAAGGGAGAUAAUUUGGAAAAAUGUAUAAAAUAAAGAUUCCAGGGAUCAUUAUAAUAGGCAUUCUGUCGAGAAGUGGGGAAAGCAGUAGUAUUCACUGCGCGUCCAAGCAAAGGAGUCGGAAGGCUUUCUGGAUAAUACGAAAAUGGAGAGGAAGUAGAAGCGGUUGAUGGAAAAGAG
This is a non-coding RNA of Schizosaccharomyces pombe (fission yeast), 721 nucleotides long. The record is from the annotation of a GenBank genome assembly. NCBI's taxonomy places the organism in Eukaryota, Fungi, Ascomycota, Schizosaccharomycetes, Schizosaccharomycetales, Schizosaccharomycetaceae.